Molecule: unclassified non-coding RNA, 3308 nt
Filed under: Hevea brasiliensis (rubber tree)
Lineage: Eukaryota; Viridiplantae; Streptophyta; Magnoliopsida; Malpighiales; Euphorbiaceae
Source: RNAcentral
AAAAAUUAAAAAAAAAAAAUAAAACCUAAAUUUUCUUUUAAAAAAAAAACCAUUUUUUCUAAGAACAUUGUUUAAGCUCUGUUUCUGCUAGCUUGAGCUCUCUAAUCAAAUUAAGUUAAAGCUUUGAGUUUUUGCAGAUUAAAUCUCAAUGUAAAACUCCUCUUCUAGCUCCAACUUAGCUUUUCAAAACUCAGAGCUUUCAUUUUUUUUUUAAAGUUCAUUUUUUUCUUCUCUUUUGGGUUUUGAAUUUUUAAGCUUGUUUUACUUACAGUGCUUUGAUUUUUCAGUUUUUUUUUUAUUUUAAUGAAAUUUGUUUUUAGAUGAUUUGAACUGAAAAUCAAAAUGGGUUUUUGGUAAAAUCUUGAAAAACAAAAAUAAAAUCCACAGGGUUUAAGCAUGGAUGCAAGAGAAACUGUGAGUAGUAGUAGUGGAGGUGGGGUUACAGUGGUGGGAUCCGAUGUUCCAUCGAACUACAAGAUCGCUCCAAGGUCCGCCGACAACCCUAGCUCCGUCCCUGGAUCCGCGCCACCUCCGCAGCCGCAACCGGCGAUGGUGCCUCCGCCAUCCACGGCGGCGACGUUGCCUUUGAAGAAGAAACGAGGAAGGCCAAGAAAAUAUGGUCCUGACGGCAGCAUCACGAUGGCGUUGUCUCCAAAGCCGAUAUCCUCGGCAGCUCCGGCUCCGCCUCCGGUGAUCGAUUUCUCUGCUGAGAAACCAAGGAAAAUAAAGCCGGUGAGCAAGGCAAAGUACGAGCUGGAGAAUUUAGGUAAAUGAAUAAUUUUUAUAAGCACCCUUUUGAGCUGAAGGUGGUUUUUAUACUUGUUUUGUGAUCAAAUGUGUGAUUUUUGGUUUUUAAAUUGGUAAUUUUGUGUUGUUCAAGUACGGUUUUUAUGGAUGUGGGACCUGUGAUAUGAUGCGUCAAUUGAGAUCUGUGUCUGGGUUUGUGGGUGGUGCUGGUUGGUUUGGAAAGAUAGUGAGAGAGGUAUAUGGGUAGGUGUGGGAACGAGGGAAUCUUGCUAUUGUAAGAUGUCAUUUGGCCUUUCUCUCCUAUUUUGGGAAGAGAAUUUGUGGAAGGGUACUAUAUGGGGCACCUGCUUAAAGUCUGGUAAAAGUUUGCUGUGUCAUAGUGAACAGAAUCGGACUAUAGAGAGAUGUCAUCAACUGGCAGGCUGACCUGCGGCAAAUGGGGAAAGAAGAGAGUUGCUGUUUCCGUGAUUUGUUGACAUUUACUGUUUCUGUGUAUUAUGUCGUGUUUUCUAGGUGUUUUUUCCUUGUUGGUCUUGAUAUUCUUGUUUCUUCUGUAGUCUGAUUCUUUUUUCUGCCAAGUGGGUCUUGAUGUGUGCAUAUCUGGAAUUAUGGUUUUGACUUGUCAUAUUUUCCAUCUCUUUUUAUGCUGGGUACUUGGUCGCCUUUCUGAGUUCACGUUGUUUUAUCAUUUUUCAAGGUGAAGUAGAAAAAUCAAUUCAAUAUCCAGCAAGCUGCAUGAGUGUCACAUGGAAAUGAAAAACCUUACCUUUCUAUGAUUAAUAAAGAACAUAAUAUUCAUAAUCUGGAUUAGUCUUGCUUUGUUGAGUUAUUUGUAUGACUCUUAUAUUUCCACUUUUGUCAGGUUGGCCAUUUGGCCUGUUUCUGAAAUAAAAGUUUAUAGCUGAUAUGAAAGAAUACAAGGAUAGAUCUGAUAAGCAUGUAGCUUCUCAGUUCUUUAUCUUUACAGCUUUUAUAAAUGCAUUACUAUUCAGACCUCUUUUCAAAUUGUAAAUACCACAAAACACAUUGCCAUCUAUUUCCAACGCAGUUGUAUUUUACAAGAUGUCCAGUAUUUUAUUAUCACAAGGGACUCGGUUUCAAUUAGGGCUGCAUAAUUUGUGAUUAGUCAAUUUUCUUUUCCUUUUUCAUUUUUGAUUAUGGAUACAGUGUGCUCAUCAUGAAAACCAAAAAGAAGAAAUUAAUGUGCAUUUUUAAAUUGAAGAUUUCUUUGUCAUAUGUGACUUGUGGGUACUAUCCUUCUUCUUGUUUGGAUUGGUGUGGAGUGGUUAGUGAGGGAGUGACUUGGUUUCUAUAAGGUUUUCUAGACAUUGCUCAUCACUUAUUAAGUGAAAAGGGUUUGAUUGAAAUGAUUACUAUUCUCUAUAGUUCUUGUUUAAUGUUUUGGUAGUUCUAUCAUUCCACAAAACAAAAUCUGAAUUUGAACUAUAUAGGUUGCCUGCAGUAGGCAGUCUAAGCCCCUAAAGAAUAUGUCUUCUUAUCCCUGUUGCAUUUGAUGCUUUAAUUCUGGCCUGUAAUAUUUUUCUCUUUUGAGGUAGUGAUGCUGAAUGCUCUUGAUACAUGAAGUUGAGAUUCCACUUACGGAUAAUCUGAUAGCUUGGCCUAGGUACAUUAUUAUUGUCAAUUGCAGCAUAAUAUACAGAGUUUCCCUAGCUAUGAGUACGGCUUAGGAAAAUAACAUUGUAGGUACUGCCAGUGGCCGACCAUGUCUAAUUGGCAAGGGCUUGCCCAUUGCACGAGAAGGUUUGAAGUCUUCUCUGAUUGCUAUGGGGAAGGCUUUCUCUUCGUUAUUCUUGAUUUCAACACAAUGAUUCAAGUCAUCUUGAUUACUUUGUAGACUUUACAUUGUCAUUUGUGUUGUUUUCCCUCUGUAUUGUAACUAUUUGCCAUCUCAUUUCUUUCAUUUUGAAUAUCACAACUCCAUAUCAUAAAGCCCUUACUCAGACACUUUCGUCAAGUUAUUUAUGCCUUUGGUACAUUUGUAUAUCAUGCAACAAUAAGAAGGAAUAUAUGUGAAUAAAGGCUUUUGUUUCUAAAGAAAUUAAGGCCUUUGAGUAAUUCUCUCACUUCUAAUUAAUUAUGUCUUCAUAGGGUUUUAACUGGAAGUUAAUCAGCAUUAUUCAACUUCCUUGUAUGAAUUAUUAAUGCCAAUACUUCACAAGUUAUUAAAUAAUUCUUAGUUUUUGAAUUUCAUUUAUGUAUUUGCUUUUCUUUGGAAGUUGGGAGAGGCAUGUUGGAUAAAUUCUGUCUUCAUUUUUUUUAAUGUAUUCCACCACUUCCCUCCUCUUGUACACUCUCAUUAGGUUCUAGCUGCAAUGAUUUGCUUAGCAGAUGUACUUGAUUCAGUUGAUUGUUUAAAUCACUUGAUUCUCGCUAAAGAUAAGGAACUCAAAAGUUCUCUCUAUUUCUCUCCCAAGUUCUGAUGCUGAAUCUCUACCCUUUCUGAAUAUGAUUAUUUUAGGAUACUUCAUCCAUUAUUUUUCUAAUUUCACCCUCAGGAGAAAGGCUAUGGCCUUCCCCUUCCUGGAAUGUCAUGAAGCUAG